UAAAAUGGUAUUUUUGUAUUAUUUUUAAUUUCCAAUUUCUGACUAUUCCUUUUACCCAAAAAAUAAAGUUAAAAAAUAGAAACUAAAAAUUAAAAAAUCUUAUUCCAAUCCUUAGUCAAACUAAAAAAUUAAAAUUAGUUCUUAUUCCUAAAAACUUGAAUUUUUUUUUUAAAAAUAUUUUAUUCAUAUUUUAAUUAAUUUAAAAUUAAAAAAUACAUAUAUAAAUAC
This 228-nucleotide long non-coding RNA is filed under the name Prunus persica (peach). RNAcentral describes it as "long non-coding RNA (PPER_LNC001132)". The record is from RNAcentral. Lineage: Eukaryota; Viridiplantae; Streptophyta; Magnoliopsida; Rosales; Rosaceae.